GCUUGUGUAGCUCAGAGGCAAGAGCCUAGGCGCGUCGGUUCGAGUCCGGCCACAAGCG
Molecule: transfer RNA, 58 nt
Filed under: Corynebacterium glucuronolyticum
Lineage: Bacteria; Bacillati; Actinomycetota; Actinomycetes; Mycobacteriales; Corynebacteriaceae
Description: tRNA_Pseudo_???
Rfam family: tRNA
About the family: Transfer RNA (tRNA) molecules are approximately 80 nucleotides in length. Their secondary structure includes four short double-helical elements and three loops (D, anti-codon, and T loops).
Source: RNAcentral